CACGCAUACCCAAAAAUGCAAAAACGGCAUCGGCUUCUAGUGCAGUCAUUCUUCUUCCGGGCAAAACCCUAAUCUUGCAAUCGAAUCCAAAAUUCCCAAAUUCCAUUUGAAACCCUAAUCCCCAAAUUUCCAAAUUCCUCCAAUCCAACCGAAAAGCCUAAGCCCCAAAUUCCGUAAAUCGUCCAAUCGAAUCCCAAAAUUGUCCAGUCGAACCGUAAUGAUUCCGAUGAAGAAGUCGGGUGCACCUCAUCUCAUCUCUGGUGAUCUCGAGAGCCUUUGCAGCCAUUGAGGAAGCCCCAUCUUCGGCUUGCUAACUGCCUUUGAAGUAGCAGAGGCUUGGCGAAGAAAAUCCGAGUUUGCUGGCAGGGGAUGAAUUCGGUCUUGUGGAAUCGAAACCAACAUCAGCAAUCAUAAAUUCUCUCAAGAGGCUGCAGAAGAACGCCAUGUCUAAAGAUAGCUCUGCUGCUGCGGUCCUUGACAUUUGCAGGCUAAGCAGAUGCUAGAGCAGUAGAUUCGAUCUUCAUUCGGAACUCAUCACCGAUCACUGGAGGUAGAAAUGAGUAGUGGAAGGUAUCAUCCUCUUAGCAUCAUUCUGUCUUGCUGCUUCUUCUCAGUAAUCACUCUUCUGCUAUUGGAGCCACAUUGUUGCGAUGGUAGCAAAGUUUUGCUCGUUCGACCCGGGGAAGAAGGAGAUGAUGAUCAUUAUGCAUUACUCAAACUUAUAAACAGGACUGGUUUCCCCCCUGAUUUCACUUUUGGUGUAGGCUCGAGUGCUUACCAGUAUGAAGGAGCAGCGAAUCAGCACGGCAGGAGGCCUAGCAUAUGGGAUACUUUCACCAAGUUGCAUCCAGAUAAGAUAGCAGAUCACAGUUCCGGGACGACGGCAGAGGAAUUUUACUACCUGUAUAGGGAGGAUAUAGGGUUGCUAAAAGAAAUCGGAUGGGAUUUCUUCAGAUUCUCCAUCUCGUGGCCAAGACUUGUACCUUAUGGCAAAGUAAGCAGGGGAGUGAACCAGCAAGGUAUCAACUUCUACAAUAAUCUCAUCAAUGAACUCCUUGCUCAUGGUAUUCAGCCAUUUGUGACUAUAGUCCAAUGGGAUUUGCCACAAGCUCUUGAAGAUGAGUACGGAGGGUUCCUAAGUCGUGACAUCGUGGGUGAUUUCCGUGACUAUGCCGAUCUAUGUUUCAAGGAGUUCGGGGACAGAGUGAAGUACUGGGCCACGUUGAACGAGCCGCAUAAUUUAGCACUGUAUGGAUACACCCUAGGUAUUUUUGCACCUGGUCGAUGUUCUUACUACAUGGGCAAUUGCUCUGCUGGGAAUUCUGCGACAGAGCCAUACAUUGUGGUGCACAACCAGCUCCUUUCACAUGCAUCGGCCGUCCAGUUAUAUAAGAGCAAGUAUCAGGCUUCUCAAAAGGGGAAAAUAGGGUUGACCACUGAAAGCUACUGGAUGAAACCAAAGUUCCAAACAGACCAAAGUAGGAAGGCUACCUUGAGAGCUCUCGAUUUUCAUCUUGGGUGGAUACUUGAUCCAAUCACCUUCGGUCAUUAUCCCAAGAGUAUGAGACAUUUAGUCGGAACGCGGCUGCCCAACUUUACAGCAGCUGAGUCAGAAAUUCUGAGAGGAUCCUAUGAUUAUCUUGGCAUCAAUUACUAUACUGCUCGAUAUGUCGAUGAAUCCACAUCUUAUGGCACCACUGACCUUAGUUACACAACAGAUUGUCGUUGCAAUCUCACAAUGGAGAGAGAUGGAAUUCCGAUUGGAGAGCCGGUACCGAAUAAAUUGUACUGCUGUGGAGUGGUUAUACAUAUAUCCGAAGGGAAUCAGGGAGCUAAUGCAUUAUGUGAAGAACAAGUACAAUCCCUCCGUGAUUUACAUAUCAGAGAACGGAAUGGCGGAUAUCAAUAACAGUACAAUACCACUUAAAGACGCGCUCAGGGAUACCUCGAGGAUUAAAUACCACAUGCUCCACCUUUUUUAUCUCUCGAAAGCUAUCGAGGAAGGAGUGAACGUGAAGGGCUACUUGGUAUGGUCGUUCUUGGAUGACUUUGAGUGGGCAUUGGGUUACACUAUUCGCUUUGGGUUGACUUUCAUCGACUACGAGAACGGCCUUAAGAGAUAUCUAAAGGACUCUUCCUUUUGGUUUAAGCAAUUUCUCCAUAGCGAAAACACUACUCAUAUGGUCCCGCUACUUCAAGUUUCAGAGUGAUCUUUGUCGCCUUAAUUCUUCUUAUGCGUCUUUUUUUCUUAAAAUCAUGAUUAUAUUUAUUUGUAUCUGUUCGCAUCUUUUUUAUUUGGACUAGUAUAAAAAUCACGAUUGCACGUGAUAAUAAUCUCAUUCACUACACUAUAUAGUAAAUAAUGAUAGUUAUUGAAACAAAAGUU
Molecule: non-coding RNA, 2386 nt
Organism: Punica granatum (pomegranate)
Lineage: Eukaryota; Viridiplantae; Streptophyta; Magnoliopsida; Myrtales; Lythraceae
Source: RefSeq, a predicted model, not a curated record